Centropristis striata (black sea bass) is the source of this 1546-nucleotide long non-coding RNA. RefSeq lists it as uncharacterized. Lineage: Eukaryota; Metazoa; Chordata; Actinopteri; Perciformes; Serranidae. The record is from RefSeq and is a predicted model, not a curated record. The transcript has 4 exons.
GUGAUUUAUAUUAAAUGUAUAUAUUUCAGAUGCAGAUGAAUCCCAGGAUGCCACCUCAAGUCACGUGGUCUAUCAGAAUGAAGCUCAACGUAGUGAAUACUCCUCUCUUCUCCACUGUGAUGCUUCUGUCUAUGAAACAAUCAAAGGCUCUAAAGACUAUGAAAAUGAUGCAGGUGAAUCCAAAGAUGCCACCUCUUCUUCCAUUGAACUAAAAAAGAUUGGAAAGGAAAGGAAGCAGCAUUAACCAGAGAAGGGCGCUGUUUAGUCUGAUGUGAAGACCUGAACUGCAAGUACAGAAACAGAAAGUACAGAAAGUUUGUCCUGAAAUGUGAUGAAUCAUUACACUGGAGGUAAUUAUGGGCCAUCUUGCAGUUCAGUUAAACUCAAUUAGUCACCUUGGGUAGAUAUUUUAAACAGCCACUACGUGUCACCAGAGCUACAAAUUGUACUUUCUUACAUAUAUUUUGGGCCUUUUUUCAUAUGCAGUAUGUGAUUGUUAUUGUAUGUUAUACAUCAAAAGUUUACUAUAUAUGUUAAUCUCACAUAUUCAGUUUUACAUUUAUAUAUAUAUUUUUUUUACUAGUCAUGCUGUUGCAGAUUAUUGAAUUGAUUGUAUAUGGAAAUUUGUUUUAUAUAUAUAUAGUUUGGUAUAUAUGUAUGGACAUUUUUAAUGCCAACUUAAAUAGUGGCUGUAUAUAAAGAUGUGUUUAUUUUUAUUACAGUAUCAUAAACAUUUAUUUAUCUUCAUUUAGUUUUCCAGAAUAGACAGAAUAGAACUUUCUUGAGGUCUCAGAGCUAUUUUGACAAAGAUGAGUUGUUGACAGCAUUUUUAUAAAAUUAUUGUUAAUAUUACUGUUGCACCUGUUGUCCAAAUAUCCAACAAACUCCAUCAAUUAUCCAUCAAACAACUAGUCACAUUACAGAAGUUAACAGAGUCUAUAUAUUUUCAGUAUUAAAUAAGAACGAUCCAGGGUGAUCAUUAACUGUAAAAUAUGUUAAAUAAUGUGCUAUCAAAUAUAUUGUAUCACUGCAGAUGUACAUGCUUUGCUCUGUCUAAAAAAUAUAAUGAUAUCUACGUUAUGAAUUUCUGAUUUAUAUGUUUUGGGUUUUUAUAUUGUAUUUUUAUUUAGCAUUUUAUCCAUCAAUAAACUUUUUGGCUAAUUAAAACUGUCAAUUGGUUUGUGGAUCAUGUGAGGGUAACUGAGACAUUUGCUAUUGAAAGACAUGUUGCUGAUCAAUUUUUUCAAAUGUAAUUAAUCAUUUCAAACCUGGCUUUGCCUUCAAUCAUCUUUUGAUGCUUCCUAUUGAGAAAUAUACGCUGGUCGACCUUGUAUUCUGUAAAAGAUAUUGUGCUUUAAUUACUUUAUGUGAUGGUGUACUUUUAUUUUGUAAUGGUUUGCUUGUCUUGUGUGUGUGCACUUCCUGUUUUAUUUUGUAGUUUUGGUUCUUGUAUGUUGUGUCUGGGGUACAUCCCAAAGCUCUUAAUUUUCGCCUCCUCUAUCCUCGCUUGAACCGGAAGUUCUUUCGCGGCCGCCAUCUUUAAGAC